CCCACUUUCCUUCUCUCUCUCUUCUCAUUUGGACUCUUUCUUAUCUCUCCUCAACCUGCCACCGCACUAACACCUUUUAUCCUCUCUCUCUCUCUCUCUCUCUCUCUCUCUCUCCACUAUAUUGGAUCAAGCACAACCAAGCACACAUGAACAUGAUGAACACCAUGAAGGUGUUCAUCAAUUGAUCCUAGUUUUUCAACAAAAAGCCCCCAAUCCAAAAAAUAAUCUACAUAAACCUACCUUAAAACAAGCCCCUAACCAUGAAUCCAACAACAAAAUCACAAAAACCCAAAACAAAUUCACAAAUUGAACGUUACAGUUCAAAAACCUUAAGUCCGAAAUUAAAUAUCAUAACCUAAUGCAAUUAUCAAUUAUCAAGGGGAAACGAUCAUUCAGACAUACAUAAACAUUCUACGAGCAUGAAAUUAGAAGAAAAGCUAAGAAUAGAGCCUCGUUGGAGCUUAAAACUCAGGAGAGAACUCUGGAAACCAACCUCAAGGUGUGUAUGCUUAUGAAGAUGAAUGAUUAAUGGCAUGGUUGAAGGCAAAGCAUGAAGUGAUGAAAGGGGAUCAUGUUGAGGUGUUGAAGAAGAAGACAUGGGAUGAUGAUGAUGAGGGCAAGUUUGAAAACUUGUAUGGGCCAAAACAAGCUUGAAACUUUUCUUUUUUUAUUUUAACUUUUGUAUUCUCUUUUAUAUUUGUAAUAAUGGUCCAAUGUAUGUAUUACCUACUAUUUAAAAGUGUAAUGAAAAAUGCCCUAUUUGUACACUCAAAAUCAACUUGAA
Lathyrus oleraceus (garden pea) is the source of this 784-nucleotide long non-coding RNA. RefSeq lists it as uncharacterized. The record is from RefSeq and is a predicted model, not a curated record. Lineage: Eukaryota; Viridiplantae; Streptophyta; Magnoliopsida; Fabales; Fabaceae. The transcript has 2 exons.